AUGGAGAGGAGGCAGCCGCCACAGCAAGGGGGAGAAGAGGGGCUUCAGGUCCUUGGUCAGUCGAUGGGUAUGGAGCAACAGCAAGGAUCACAGGGAAUGGCAGAAGAGUUCAGAUCGGAGGAGAGGAGCAGCAAAGGUUCGGGAAGACGACAGCAGGGGUGCAGCGAGGGGAGAGGUGGUGAACUCGUGAUGGUGCUGGAUGGUGUUGGAGGAAGGAGGCGUUGGUGGAGGUGGAGUGAAUGGAUGGCUGGGUGGUGCACCGCCACGCCGGCCUGGCCGCGGCGGCGGCCGGUGGUGGAGAAGGAAGGGUGA
RNAcentral lists this ribosomal RNA (312 nucleotides) under Triticum aestivum (bread wheat). RNAcentral describes it as "partial small subunit ribosomal RNA". Lineage: Eukaryota; Viridiplantae; Streptophyta; Magnoliopsida; Poales; Poaceae. The record is from RNAcentral.